Molecule: ribosomal RNA, 301 nt
Filed under: uncultured bacterium
Lineage: Bacteria
Description: partial 16S ribosomal RNA
Rfam family: Bacterial small subunit ribosomal RNA
Source: RNAcentral
CAGUAGCCGCGGUAGUACGGAGGGUGCGAGCGUUAAUCGGAAUUACUGGGCGUAAAGAGUGCGUAGGUGGUUAAUUAAGUUAUCUGUGAAAUUCCUGGGCUUAACCUGGGCAGGUCAGAUAAUACUGGUUAACUCGAGUAUGGGAGAGGGUAGUGGAAUUUCCGGUGUAGCGGUGAAAUGCGUGGAGAUCGGAAGGAACACCAGUGGCGAAGGCGGCUACCUGGCCUAAUACUGACACUGAGGCACGAAAGCGUGGGGAGCAAACAGGAUUAGAUACCCGUGUAGUCCCUGUCUCUUAUAC